UAUUAUGAGAGUUUGAUCCUGGCUCAGGACGAACGCUGGCGGCGUGCCUAAUACAUGCAAGUCGUACGCUUCUUUUUCCACCGGAGCUUGCUCCACCGGAAAAAGAAGAGUGGCGAACGGGUGAGUAACACGUGGGUAACCUGCCCAUCAGAAGGGGAUAACACUUGGAAACAGGUGCUAAUACCGUAUAACAAUCGAAACCGCAUGGUUUUGAUUUGAAAGGCGCUUUCGGGUGUCGCUGAUGGAUGGACCCGCGGUGCAUUAGCUAGUUGGUGAGGUAACGGCUCACCAAGGCCACGAUGCAUAGCCGACCUGAGAGGGUGAUCGGCCACAUUGGGACUGAGACACGGCCCAAACUCCUACGGGAGGCAGCAGUAGGGAAUCUUCGGCAAUGGACGAAAGUCUGACCGAGCAACGCCGCGUGAGUGAAGAAGGUUUUCGGAUCGUAAAACUCUGUUGUUAGAGAAGAACAAGGAUGAGAGUAACUGUUCAUCCCUUGACGGUAUCUAACCAGAAAGCCACGGCUAACUACGUGCCAGCAGCCGCGGUAAUACGUAGGUGGCAAGCGUUGUCCGGAUUUAUUGGGCGUAAAGCGAGCGCAGGCGGUUUCUUAAGUCUGAUGUGAAAGCCCCCGGCUCAACCGGGGAGGGUCAUUGGAAACUGGGAGACUUGAGUGCAGAAGAGGAGAGUGGAAUUCCAUGUGUAGCGGUGAAAUGCGUAGAUAUAUGGAGGAACACCAGUGGCGAAGGCGGCUCUCUGGUCUGUAACUGACGCUGAGGCUCGAAAGCGUGGGGAGCAAACAGGAUUAGAUACCCUGGUAGUCCACGCCGUAAACGAUGAGUGCUAAGUGUUGGAGGGUUUCCGCCCUUCAGUGCUGCAGCUAACGCAUUAAGCACUCCGCCUGGGGAGUACGACCGCAAGGUUGAAACUCAAAGGAAUUGACGGGGGCCCGCACAAGCGGUGGAGCAUGUGGUUUAAUUCGAAGCAACGCGAAGAACCUUACCAGGUCUUGACAUCCUUUGACCACUCUAGAGAUAGAGCUUCCCCUUCGGGGGCAAAGUGACAGGUGGUGCAUGGUUGUCGUCAGCUCGUGUCGUGAGAUGUUGGGUUAAGUCCCGCAACGAGCGCAACCCUUAUUGUUAGUUGCCAUCAUUUAGUUGGGCACUCUAGCAAGACUGCCGGUGACAAACCGGAGGAAGGUGGGGAUGACGUCAAAUCAUCAUGCCCCUUAUGACCUGGGCUACACACGUGCUACAAUGGGAAGUACAACGAGUCGCGAAGUCGCGAGGCUAAGCUAAUCUCUUAAAGCUUCUCUCAGUUCGGAUUGUAGGCUGCAACUCGCCUACAUGAAGCCGGAAUCGCUAGUAAUCGCGGAUCAGCACGCCGCGGUGAAUACGUUCCCGGGCCUUGUACACACCGCCCGUCACACCACGAGAGUUUGUAACACCCGAAGUCGGUGAGGUAACCUUUUUGGAGCCAGCCGCCUAAGGUGGGAUAGAUGAUUGGGGUGAAGUCGUAACAAGGUAGCCGUAUCGGAAGGUGCGGCUGGAUCACCUCCUUU
Molecule: ribosomal RNA, 1561 nt
Filed under: Enterococcus durans
Lineage: Bacteria; Bacillati; Bacillota; Bacilli; Lactobacillales; Enterococcaceae
Description: bacterial SSU rRNA
Rfam family: Bacterial small subunit ribosomal RNA
Source: RNAcentral